AAAAAAAACACAGUUUUGAUUCAAAUGGGUUCAACCGCCCAGAAGCAGUCAAGCAUCCCAGUUUGAAGGUCUGGUUGUACUAAUGGCUACCUACAGACAGCCCACUGAGUUUUUCGUCACCCGUGCUACACAACAUUAACCGCGGGGAACAUCGCAGGACUCGGCUAUCAAUAAUAAAAUAACAGAAUCCCUAUAAAACUUAUUUGAUUCAUUUAGGCACCAAAAAACAGGCAGUCCGAUUUUGAAAAACUUCGGCCUGCGUUAAUUACUUUGGUUCUUCUGCGAAUCUCCUCAUUCCUGGUUCGAUUUCGCGGGGAAACUUGAUUAAUUACCGACAGCAUGAAAGAAUGAAGAUAGUCGAAAAAUUUCAAGGCUUAUCCAUGAAUGCGGCGUUCAGAAAACGGAUCUGAGCGCAUUUUCAAGGUCAUUGCACUUGGUUCGUAGAAAAAAAAUUAAAAUAGUUUGUGAAAUAAUAAAAUUAUGACGUUAAUAGAACGAAAGCGUGCCGCGGGCUAAAAAUAUCUGAGGCAACGACCCCAAAAUUUCAUUAUGGCCACUGACAACGUCAAAACCAUGAAGAGCUAAUGAAAAUGUUUACGGACUUUUUGGCGGGAACGCGAGGAGUGAAGUUCUGUGAUUUGUUUUAUUUUGUCUAUUUAGUGUUUAUUCAGGUUUAAAUGUGUAAUAACGGUGGUUUAUUAACUGUUUAAUAUCUGUGAAAGUGCACUAAUGUGGGAGAAUGAAACAAAGCCGCCGGACGUAACUUUUUGAGAUCCUCCAAAAUUAUUUAUUUUACUAGAUGUCUAUGGGAUCCGAUAACAACUUAGCACCAAGUGGGCUGUGAGCUCAACCAACUAUCUAUGCAAUAAAAAUGAAAUAAAAAGAACAUGACUUCAAUUUUUUUUUCUACUACCUAAUCGUUGGUAGACUAAGGGCUCUUUCAACUCACGGGCUCAACCUGAGAGAAUUUGCUAACACUGGCCCUAGCAAGAGCAGCGCUGAAUUUACCACCGGAUCCGAAUCGCGACCUACUGAGAAGAUCCGGCGAGAAACUCAGUGGAUUUGCAGUGAGACUGCUCCACCACCCAAAACAGCAAUCAAAAACCAUCUAGUGCCGUUUCCAAACGUGGACCCAACGCCCCACAAGAGGGUAAUUUGAUAAUUAAGGAGGGGCAAUUGCACUAAAUUAACAUAGAAAAUCUGUAUGAAGUAAAAUUAUUUUGAAUUUGAAUUUUAGUUUUUUUAUUAUAUGUUUUGAAAUAUUA
This is a long non-coding RNA of Bombyx mori (domestic silkworm), 1265 nucleotides long. RefSeq lists it as uncharacterized. NCBI's taxonomy places the organism in Eukaryota, Metazoa, Arthropoda, Insecta, Lepidoptera, Bombycidae. The transcript has 2 exons. The record is from RefSeq and is a predicted model, not a curated record.